RNAcentral lists this long non-coding RNA (1073 nucleotides) under Olea europaea (common olive). Its description in RNAcentral is "long non-coding RNA (OEUR_LNC015195)". The record is from RNAcentral. Lineage: Eukaryota; Viridiplantae; Streptophyta; Magnoliopsida; Lamiales; Oleaceae.
GCCAUAGUGCAUAAAAAUUGGAUUUUUCUCAGUGAUGUCUUCUAGAAUGAGAUCAAGUGAAUAAGAGAGAAGUAGAACAAUUACGAAGGCAGAGCUUCUAGUGUGACCAUCAAUGUAAAUAAACACUAACGGGAAAAGGUGGUAAGCUAAUUUCCAUUUUCAAUAGAAAUCAUUUGAUUCUUGUUUGGGUGUUACAUAUGAUUGAGAUGUCGGGUUACUAUUUUCUGGAUUCUGCUUCAGCAAGAUAUCACCUGGUUCUUUCUCACGCAUUGGGCAGAGAGAGUUUUCUAUUUGACUAGAUUGUAACAAUUGAAUGCCAGUAGGUUGGUUUUGUCUCUGCUGCACGUCGCUAGACAUUUCAUAAACCCUAGCCAUAGCUGGUUCACCUUUCAAUUCCAAACAGCAGGAGAAAUAACCAGAAAAUCAUAAACCCAACUGAAAACAGAAAAACCCUGAACAGAGAAAUCAAUUACCUUACCUUUUUCCAAUUCUGGACAAUUUUAGAAUAAUCAGAGGUUGUAACAAUUGAAUGCCAGUAGGUUGGUUUUGUCUCUGCUGCACGUCGCUAGACAUUUUCUCUCAAAUUGGGGAUGGGGGUGCACCCUUCUCUUGAUAAGACUGCUGUAUCUGACUUCAACUUAGUGUUCAGUCUCUUCUGCAGUUUGUCUGGCACUCAUGAAGCACUCCAGAUAUAUAGCAAUCUUUGAACUCUACUUCAUGAAAUCCAUUGUCAGGAUCCUGUUUCUACUGCAAUUUUGGAAUAAACACCAUCGAACAAUGUCUUCCUUGUGUACCGAGAGAGACAGUAAAAAGGAAAAAAAUACUGUCAAUACAUCCGUAAAAAAUGAUCUCCAUGCUUCAAAAUGAUAGUCAAAAGGAAAACAAUGAAGCCAAAACGCAUGUCAACAUGAAUUAAUCCACAAUAUUACUGGUCAUUGAAUCUACUUAAUCCUAAGAGAAACAGGAGGUGAGGAUUGAUCUCCAAAGCUAACAAACUACUGGACAUUGCAAUAAUUCUAUUUUUUUAUGACCGUGAUUGUUCGGACCGGCUUACGCACACCUCGACCAAUCCC